UACGGAGGGUGCGAGCGUUAAUCGGAAUUACUGGGCGUAAAGGGUGCGUAGGCGGGUCUUUAAGUCAGGGGUGAAAUCCUGGAGCUCAACUCCAGAACUGCCUUUGAUACUGAAGAUCUUGAGUCCGGGAGAGGUGAGUGGAACUGCGAGUGUAGAGGUGAAAUUCGUAGAUAUUCGCAAGAACACCAGUGGCGAAGGCGGCUCACUGGCCCGGUACUGACGCUGAGGCACGAAAGCGUGGGGAGCAAACAGG
Molecule: ribosomal RNA, 253 nt
Filed under: uncultured bacterium
Lineage: Bacteria
Description: partial 16S ribosomal RNA
Rfam family: Bacterial small subunit ribosomal RNA
Source: RNAcentral